CAUAAAGUUAACGAGUAAAAUUUUUAUUUCAUAUAAUUAAAUAGAAAAAAAAAUUUGUUUUAAAAUUGUUUUUCAACUAUAAAACAUUGACACAAUAGAAGAGAAAAAUGUACAUUUCGAAGAGAAAUGAGUACGAUUGUUUUAAAAAAUCGUCAAGUCAUGAGUAUUUCAGGAUAAAAUAGAGAACUAUGAUGGAUAGUGGGACGGUUUUACUAAGUCCGUAGGCGGCAGUAUCUGCCAGCACAUUGUAUUGGGUUCGAGACUCGGUUACAGGCGGCCCUGUUGGUUGAUGGAAAGAUUAAUUCAGUAAUGGAAUCACCAUCCCUUUCUAUUGUGACGGACUAACUACUCGACAUAGAGGAACUAUGGUUAAGAAACCUUCUCAUUUAAGGAGGCCACUAUGGCCCUUAAUAAGCUGUAAAAACAUGAAAAUAUAAUAAAUAGAUAAUUAUAUGCGUAUUUUUUUCUUAGAAUUUGCUUAAGUACUUUAUUCAUGAUAAAUUUUCUAUCCAAUUGAAACUUUAUUGACAAUUCUGGAUUUAUCAACUGAUUUAUAUCUUAUUUACACGCCUAUGCAGCCGUUGAUUUACAUUAAACCAGCACUUCUUUGGGGUUUUUAUGCUAUUAUAGGACAUUUAUUUUCUAAAAAUCAUGUAAUUUAUGAACUUUCUUUUCCAAGU
Long non-coding RNA from Daktulosphaira vitifoliae (grape phylloxera), 680 nucleotides. RefSeq lists it as uncharacterized. The transcript has 3 exons. The record is from RefSeq and is a predicted model, not a curated record. Lineage: Eukaryota; Metazoa; Arthropoda; Insecta; Hemiptera; Phylloxeridae.